Molecule: ribosomal RNA, 253 nt
Filed under: uncultured bacterium
Lineage: Bacteria
Description: partial 16S ribosomal RNA
Rfam family: Bacterial small subunit ribosomal RNA
Source: RNAcentral
UACGUAGGUGGCAAGCGUUGUCCGGAUUUACUGGGCGUAAAGGGAGCGUAGGCGGAUUUUUAAGUGGGAUGUGAAAUACCCGGGCUCAACUUGGGUGCUGCAUUCCAAACUGGAAGUCUAGAGUGUUGGAGAGGAAAGUGGAAUUCCUAGUGUAGCGGUGAAAUGCGUAGAUAUUAGGAAGAACACCAGUGGCGAAGGCGACUUUCUGGACAAUAACUGACGCUGAGGCUCGAAAGCGUGGGGAGCAAACAGG